This 209-nucleotide long non-coding RNA is filed under the name Gossypium barbadense (sea-island cotton). RNAcentral describes it as "long non-coding RNA (GBAR_LNC000401)". Lineage: Eukaryota; Viridiplantae; Streptophyta; Magnoliopsida; Malvales; Malvaceae. The record is from RNAcentral.
GCUCAAAGAAAGUCGUGGAUAAGAAAAAAUAGCUGAUUAGUCCCUGAAUUUUCUACAACUUCUGCAAACUACACCAGGUAAGUUCAUAUAGUUGAAUUUUAUGAUUGAUUGUUAAAAUUAGAGAUUAUAUAAUGUAUUAUUUCAUAUCUUUGUUAUGGAAUCAUGAUUAUUAUGAUAAAAUGAAAAUCGAAACAAAAGUUCAAAUUGAG